RNAcentral lists this ribosomal RNA (460 nucleotides) under uncultured bacterium. RNAcentral's name for it is "partial 16S ribosomal RNA". It matches the Rfam family "Bacterial small subunit ribosomal RNA", at positions 338 to 795 of the family's 1533-position model. The record is from RNAcentral.
CCUACGGGAGGCUGCAGUGAGGAAUAUUGGUCAAUGGGCGCGAGCCUGAACCAGCCAAGUAGCGUGAAGGAUGACUGCCCUACGGGUUGUAAACUCCUUUUAUAAAGGAAUAAAGUGAGGCACGUGUGCCAUUUUGUAUGUACUUUAUGAAUAAGGAUCGGCUAACUCCGUGCCAGCAGCCGCGGUAAUACGGCGGAUCCGAGCGUUAACCGGUUUUAUUGGGUUUAAAGGGGGCGUAGAUGGGUUGUUAAGUCAGUUGUGAAAGUUUGCGGCUCAACCGUAAAAUUGCAAUUGAUACUGGCAGGCUGGAGUACAGUUGAGGUAGGCGGAAUUCGUGGUGUAGCGGUGAAAUGCGUAGAUAUCACGAAGAACACCGAUUGCGAAGGCAGCUUACUAAACUGCCACUGACAUUGAUGCACGAAAGUGUGGGUAUCAAACAGGAGUAGAUACCCUUGUAGUC